GCCUGGUGUGGUGGCGGGCACCUGUAAUCCCAGCUACUCGGGAGGCUGAGGCAGGAGAAUCGCUUGAAUCCAGGAGGCAGAGGCUGCAGUGAGCCAAGAUGGCACCACUGCACUCCAACCUGGGUGACAGAGCAAGACCCUGUCUCAA
This is an unclassified non-coding RNA of Pongo abelii (Sumatran orangutan), 148 nucleotides long. It matches the Rfam family "Metazoan signal recognition particle RNA". Rfam says of the family: The signal recognition particle (SRP) is a universally conserved ribonucleoprotein. It is involved in the co-translational targeting of proteins to membranes. The eukaryotic SRP consists of a 300-nucleotide 7S RNA and six proteins: SRPs 72, 68, 54, 19, 14, and 9. Lineage: Eukaryota; Metazoa; Chordata; Mammalia; Primates; Hominidae. The record is from Ensembl.